UUCUCCUAUGCUGUAGUUUCUAUCAUGGGUCCACAAAGUAGUGGUGAUUUGGUCACAUAUUUGUGAAUCUAGGGAAGUGAUAUCACUUUCAAGAUGCAGAACGAAGCGGGUGAAAUGAUGAAUCUUUAUAUCCCUAGAAAAUGUUCUGCUACGAACAGACUAAUCACUGCCAAGGAUCACACAUCCGUCCAAAUCAAUAUUGGACACUUGGAUGAUAAUGGAGUGUACACCGGCCAGUAUACCACUUUUGCUCUUUCUGGCUUUAUUCGUGCUCAGGUUUGUUCU
This is a long non-coding RNA of Zingiber officinale, 285 nucleotides long. RefSeq lists it as uncharacterized. NCBI's taxonomy places the organism in Eukaryota, Viridiplantae, Streptophyta, Magnoliopsida, Zingiberales, Zingiberaceae. The record is from RefSeq and is a predicted model, not a curated record. The transcript has 3 exons.